RNAcentral lists this ribosomal RNA (500 nucleotides) under uncultured bacterium. Its description in RNAcentral is "partial 16S ribosomal RNA". It matches the Rfam family "Bacterial small subunit ribosomal RNA", at positions 30 to 523 of the family's 1533-position model. The record is from RNAcentral.
AUUGAACGCUGGCGGCAUGCCUUACACAUGCAAGUCGAACGGCAGCACGGGAGCAAUCCAAGUGGCGAGUGGCGAACGGGUGAGUAAUAUAUCGGCACGUGCCCAGUCGUGGGGGAUAACGUAGCGAAAGCUAAGCUAAUACCGCAUACGAUCUAUGGAUGAAAGCGGGGGAUCGCAAGACAUCGCGCGAUUGGAGCGGCCGAUAUCAGAUUAGGUAGUUGGUGAGGUAAAGGCUCACCAAGCCGACGAUCUGUAGCUGGUCUGAGAGGACGACCAGCCACACUGGGACUGAGACACGGCCCAGACUCCUACGGGAGGCAGCAGUGGGGAAUUUUGGACAAUGGGCGCAAGCCUGAUCCAGCAAUGCCGCGUGCAGGAUGAAGGCCUUCGGGUUGUAAACUGCUUUUGUACGGAGCGAAAAGGCUCCCUCUAAUACAGGGGGCUCAUGACGGUACCGUAAGAAUAAGCACCGGCUAACUACGUGCCAGCCGCCGCUGUAA